RNAcentral lists this long non-coding RNA (856 nucleotides) under Gallus gallus (chicken). Its description in RNAcentral is "lncRNA (ENSGALG00010002184.1)". The record is from RNAcentral. Lineage: Eukaryota; Metazoa; Chordata; Aves; Galliformes; Phasianidae.
GAAGUAGGAAAUACCCCUGCCAAAUUUAAGGAUGACAUCAAACCAGUGCCAUACAGAAGGUCCUGAACAGACUGAAUGAAUGAACCUUGUGAAACCAAGCAAUUUCAAAUGCCAAGUACUCGAGGGAAGGAGAAGCCCCUGCAAUGUUGUGUUAGGCACAGCACUGCUAACUGGUCAAUGAAAAUGGCUCUCCUGGACUCUGGGUAUGUGUACAGAAUGAGUAUGAGAGGCUGGAGAGCAGCUCCAAGGGAAGAGAUCUGGGGGUUCUGAGUGAUGAAAGUUGAACAAAAAUCAGCAGUGAGCCCUGGACAGCCAAAAGGGCCAAGCACAUCUUGAGCCAGUGUAGUUGAGUCAGAAGGUUCAACUUCUACUACCAUACCACUGCCUGCUUCUGACAUCAUGGGCAACAUGACAAAAUAGGAGGUUAAUAUCAUUUAAAAAUAAUGCAGGAGAUAUUUAAAGCACAUCAGAAGUACAGAGGACUCUUUUUGCAAGUUGAUACCUUCAAAGAAUCCCAAAUCCCUCAAAAGUGAAUUAUAUGGUAUAAAUAAGAUAACCUAUGCAGCCUUAUUGAAAAAAGAAGAAAUAAACUGUCGUGUCUGCAUCUCCUUCUGUCCCGUGAAAGUCUCUGGGAAAGCUGGUGCCAUUAGUUUCAUUAUAUGGAUGGUGAAGUUGAUCUUUAAUAGAUCAGUUGCUCUUCACAGAGCAGCAGCUUUUUCUCUGUUUUACCCCCUCCUCAGAAAAUCUGAGAUGUGAAUAUUUGGAUUAUGAAACAGGCUUGUGAUACAUGGACUGUAGUAAAGCAAAAUAUUUUCCAUAAAAUUUUGUUGUAUGUACUUUUAUUUUUUUUCAACAG